UACGGAGGAUGCGAGCGUUAUCCGGAUUUAUUGGGUUUAAAGGGUGCGUAGGCGGAACAUUAAGUCAGCGGUAAAAUCGAGGGGCUCAACCCCUUUAAGCCGUUGAAACUGGUGAUCUUGAGUGGGCGAGAAGUAUGCGGAAUGCGUGGUGUAGCGGUGAAAUGCAUAGAUAUCACGAAGAACCCCGAUUGCGAAGGCAGCCUGCCGCAGCGUUACUGACGCUGAAGCUCGAAAGCGUGGGUAUCGAACAGG
RNAcentral lists this ribosomal RNA (252 nucleotides) under uncultured Bacteroidales bacterium. RNAcentral's name for it is "partial 16S ribosomal RNA". It matches the Rfam family "Bacterial small subunit ribosomal RNA", at positions 524 to 776 of the family's 1533-position model. The record is from RNAcentral. Lineage: Bacteria; Pseudomonadati; Bacteroidota; Bacteroidia; Bacteroidales.